This 364-nucleotide ribosomal RNA is filed under the name uncultured microorganism. RNAcentral's name for it is "bacterial SSU rRNA". It matches the Rfam family "Bacterial small subunit ribosomal RNA", at positions 9 to 355 of the family's 1533-position model. The record is from RNAcentral.
GAGUUUGAUCCUGGCUCAGGAUGAACGCUGGCGGCGUGCCUAACACAUGCAAGUCGAGCGAAGCAUACAGGAGGAAGUUUUCGGAUGGAAUCCUGCAUGGCUGAGCGGCGGACGGGUGAGUAACGCGUGGGUAACCUGCCUUAUACAGGGGAUAACAGUUAGAAAUGACUGCUAAUACCGCAUAAGCGCACAGUACCGCAUGGUAGUGUGUGAAAAACUCCGGUGGUAUAAGAUGGACCCGCGUCUGACUAGCCAGUUGGCGAGGUAACGGCUCACCAAGGCGACGAUCAGUAGCUGGUCUGAGAGGAUGAUCCGCCACACUGGGACUGGAGACACGGCCCAGACUCCUACGGGAGGCAGCAGU